GACGAACGCGUGGCGGCGUGCUUAACACAUGCAAGUCGAACGAGGAGGACAUAGAAAAGCUUGCUUUUUAUGGAAUCGAGUGGCAAACGGGUGAGUAACGCGUAAGCAACCUGCCCUGCAGAUGGGGACAACAGCUGGAAACGGCUGCUAAUACCGAAUACGAAGCAGCUCCCGCAUGGGGGCAGCUUGAAAGGAUGGCCUCUGAAUAUGCUAUCGCUGCAGGAGGGGCUUGCGUCUGAUUAGCUGGUUGGAGGGGUAACGGCCCACCAAGGCGACGAUCAGUAGCCGGUCUGAGAGGAUGAACGGCCACAUUGGGACUGAGACACGGCCCAG
Molecule: ribosomal RNA, 333 nt
Filed under: uncultured bacterium
Lineage: Bacteria
Description: bacterial SSU rRNA
Rfam family: Bacterial small subunit ribosomal RNA
Source: RNAcentral